This 235-nucleotide ribosomal RNA is filed under the name uncultured bacterium. Its description in RNAcentral is "partial 16S ribosomal RNA". It matches the Rfam family "Bacterial small subunit ribosomal RNA", at positions 118 to 354 of the family's 1533-position model. The record is from RNAcentral.
UGGAUAAUCUGCCCUGCACAGGGGGACAACAGCUAGAAAUGGCUGCUAAUACCGCAUAAGCCUACAGCCUCGCAUGAGGGAGUAGGAAAAGAAAUUCGGUGCAGGAUGAGUCCGCGUCUGAUUAGCUAGUUGGAGGGGUAAGAGCCCACCAAGGCAACGAUCAGUAGCCGGCCUGAGAGGGUGAACGGCCACAUUGGGACUGAGACACGACCCAAACUCCUACGGAAGGCAGCAG